GUCAUUCUGAAGUUGCCAGAACGCUUUACGGCACUGUCGCACAUACUGCUGCUCUGUUGACAUACUUGUACUCCUGUGCGUAUUCACAGUUAGAAGUAGUCAUGGUUUGGACUUUUUUUCAUUAAAUGAGUGUUUUUGACUUAUUCCGCGGGUUCUUUGGGGUUCCCGGAGGUCAUUAUCGUGGCCGAAGGGAUCCCUUCUUUGAUGCAAUGACUCAUGAUGAUGACGAUGAUGACGAUGAAGAAGAGGAAGACGACGGAUUCUACAAUGAGAGGUUCCACGGGGUCCGGCAGGACCCCUUUGAUAAUGACUGGAGGUUUGACUUCAGCUUUGGACCAAACGGGAUGAGGAUCGAGGAGCCUCCGGUGUUUGGCCAUGUCCUCAGGGAGAUGGAGGAGAUCUUCUCCCAGCUGGGCCGCACGGACGGGCAGCCAGAGUCCGGACACUUUGGUGUGCCCAUGCUGCCACCUCCUCAGGAUGGAUCAAAGAUUACUGAAGGCAUAUCCAGCAGGAACCCCCUGAGAGACUUCAUGCUCAAAUCCCCUGACGGCAACACACAAGGAUCACCUGCAGAGCCCAGAACUGACCGCCACCCUUCUGACGAGUCACCAAGUGUCCAUGACUGGACCCCUUUUCCAAAAUUCAGUGAUAUUUGGAAAAGGGGGCCACCGAAAGCUCCAGAAGAUGGGCGGAGAGAAGACAGAGAUCUAGACUCUGCAGUUUCCUCUGGUGGUCUGGAUCAGAUUCUGACGCCACCUGCUGGUCAGGCACCAAACCAACCCAGAACCAGAUCUUUCUUUCAGUCAGUCACCGUCACAAAGGUGGUGAAGCCUGAUGGGGUGAGAGAAACAGUACUGUGGAGGAGAGGCGUACCAUUAGAGACGGACAAGGUAAUGAGGAGACCACAGUGACCCGUUCAGGAGGUUCGGGUAACCUUGAGGAUUCAGACCACCACACUGGAUCCCAUACACCAGGUAGCCAACAUCCAUUUUCAGACAUGCGUGAUGAUGACUCGCUGUUCUUCUCCAGGUUCUUUCGAGGGUUUAAGUAACCUGUAAAGAAGAAUACAGUGAAGGAUAUUCUUUGCUUUAUCCGUCUACAAGUGCUUCCCCAGAGCUGUGAGUUUGCAGAUUUGUAGGAUUUAUCAAAAUACGCAUACUUGCAUGUCCUUUAAUUGCCAAAGUGAAAAUGUUGGAAAAGGAUCUCCUAAAAUGAUGGCAGGAUUUUAAACAGACCACAAGAGUAGAAGCUGCCACUCUUGAAACCUUGUGAUUUUUAGGAAUCGGGACAAAUCAGGGACUACAUAAUUCACUGUUAGAUAUUUUAUUUUUGAACACUUUUUUGUAGAAUAAGCCUGUAUUGAUUUGUGUGUGAUUUGUCAAAUAAAAACUUAAUAUAUUCAGGA
Molecule: RNA transcript, 1405 nt
Organism: Notolabrus celidotus (New Zealand spotty)
Lineage: Eukaryota; Metazoa; Chordata; Actinopteri; Labriformes; Labridae
Gene: hax1
Gene name: HCLS1 associated protein X-1
Exons: 7
Source: RefSeq, a predicted model, not a curated record